RNA transcript from Orcinus orca (killer whale), 7217 nucleotides. It is a transcript of the gene named deoxycytidine kinase, with no coding region annotated. Lineage: Eukaryota; Metazoa; Chordata; Mammalia; Artiodactyla; Delphinidae. The transcript has 8 exons. The record is from RefSeq and is a predicted model, not a curated record.
CGCUCCCCGUGACCCUUCGUGCUGGGCGCGCACGCAGGGGCCCCGCGCUAGGCGGGCUCCGGCGGAGGGGCCCAGGAGGGAACUCAGGUUUAGGGGAAGGCGGGGGCGUGGCUUCCCCGCUGGGCGGGCGGCCACUUCACAGUCCCGCCUCAGUCGGCAGCUGCAGCCGCGCGCCAAAAUCAAACCCGGGUACCCGCCGGCCAGAGAGCCUGCGGUUCAAGGCGAGCUCCUCGGCGGCGGCGGCCCAGUCGCGCACACCUUUGACCACCUCCCGGCGCUCCCUGCCCGACGCGCUCGGGGCCGCCACAAGACGAGGCAUGGCCACCCCACCCAAGAGGAGCUGCCCAUCUCCCGCAGCCAGCUCUGAGGGGACCCGCAUCAAGAAAAUUUCCAUCGAAGGGAACAUCGCUGCUGGGAAGUCAACAUUUGUGAAUAUCCUUAAACAAGUCUGUGAGGAUUGGGAAGUGGUUCCUGAACCUGUUGCCAGGUGGUGCAAUGUUCAGAGUACUCAGGAUGAAUUUAAGGAACUGACAACGUCUCAGAAAAGUGGUGGGAAUGUUCUUCAGAUGAUGUAUGAGAAACCUGAACGGUGGUCUUUCACCUUCCAGUCAUAUGCCUGCCUCAGUCGAAUACGAGCUCAGCUUGCUGCUCUCAAUGGCAAGCUCAAAGAUGCAGAGGAACCUGUAUUAUUUUUUGAACGAUCUGUGUAUAGUGACAGGUAUAUUUUUGCAUCUAAUUUGUAUGAAUCUGACUGCAUGAAUGAAACAGAGUGGACCAUUUAUCAAGACUGGCAUGACUGGAUGAAUAACCAGUUUGGCCAAAGCCUUGAACUGGAUGGAAUCAUUUAUCUUCGAGCCACUCCAGAGAAAUGCUUGAAUAGAAUAUAUUUACGGGGAAGAAAUGAAGAACAAGGCAUUCCUCUUGAAUACUUAGAGAAGCUUCACUAUAAGCAUGAAAGCUGGCUCCUGCAUAGAACAGUAAAAACCAACUUUGAUUAUCUACAAGAAGUGCCUAUCUUAACACUGGAUGUUAAUGAAGACUUUAAAGACAAACAUGACAGUCUGGUUGAAAAGCAAUGACUGAGAGUUCUUAUUGCUCUACAUCCUUGCCAGCAUUUGUUGUCAGUGGUUUGGAUUUUGGCCAUUCUAAUAGUCGAAGAAUGGGCAGAAGACCUAAAUAGACAUUUCUCCAAAGACCUACAGAUGGCCAACAGGCGCAUGAAAAGAUGAUCAACAUUGCUGAUUAUUAGAGAAAUGCAAAUCAAAACUACAAUGAGGUACUACCUCCUACCGUUCAGAAUGACCAUCAUUAAAAAGUCUACAAACAACAAAUGCUGGAGAGGGUGUGGAGAAAAGAGAAGCCUCCUACACUGUUGGUGGGAAAGUAAAUUGGUGCAGCCACUUGGAAAACAGUAGGGAGUUUCCUCAAAAAACUAAAAAUAGAGUUGCCAUAUGAUCCAGCAAUCCCACUGCUGGGCGUAUAUGCAGAGAAAACCAUAAUUUGAAAAGAUACAUGUACCCCAGUGUUCAUUGCAGCACUAUUUACAAUAGCCAGGACAUGGAAGCAACCUAAGUGUCCAUCAACAGAGGAAUGGAUAAAGAAGAUGUGGCACAUAUAUACAAUGGAAUAUUACUCAGCCAUAAAAAGAAACGAAAUUGAGUUAUUUUUAGUGAGGUGGAUGGAUCUAGAAUCUGUCAUGCAGAGUGCAGUAAGUCAGAAAGAGAAAAACAAAUACCGUAUGCUAACACAUAUAUAUGGAAUCUAAAAAAAAAAAAAAAAAGGUCAUGAAGAACCUAGGGGCAAGACGGGAAUAAAGACACAGACCUACUAGAGAAUGGACUUGAGGACACGGGGAGGGGGAAGGGUAAGCUGUGACAAAGUGAGAGAGUGGCAUGGACAUAUAUACACUACCAAAUGUAAAAUAGAUAGCUAGUGGGAAGCAGCUGCAUAGCACAGGGAGAUCAGCUUGGUGCUUUGUGACCACCUAGAGGGGUGGGAUAGGGAGGGUGGGAGGGAGGGAGACGCAAGAGGGAAGAGAUAUGGGUAUAUAGGUAUAUGUAUAACUGAUUCACUUUGUUAUAAAUCAGAAACACCAUUGUAAAGCAAUUAUACUCCAAUAAAGAUGUUUAAAAAAAAAAAGAUGUGGUACAUAUAUACAAUGGAAUAUUACUCAGCAGUAAAAAAGAAUGAAGUAAUGCCAUUUGUAGCAACAUGGAUGGGCCUAGAGAUUGUCAUACUGAGUGAAGUAAGUCAGACGGAGAAAGACAAACAUCAUAUGAUAUCGCUUUUAUGUGGAAUCGAAAAACAUGGUACAAAUGAACUUAUUUACAAAAAAGAAAUAGAGCCACAGAUAUAGAAAACCAAUUUAUGGUUACCAAGGGGGAAAGGGAACAGGGAAGCAUCAACUGGGAGAUUGGGAUUGACAUAUACACACUACUAUAUAUAAAAUAGGUAACUAAUUAGAACCUAUUCUAUAAUGCAGGGAACUAUAUUCAAUACUCUGUAAUGACCUAUAGAGGAAUAGAAUCUAAAAAAGUGGAUUUAUGUAUAACUGAUUCACUUUGCUGUACAGCAGAAACUAUCACAACAUUGUAAAUCAACUAUACGCCCAUAAAAAUUAAUUUAAAAGAUGUGGUACAUAGAUACAAUGGAAUACUACACAGCCAUAAAAAAUAAAAUAAUGCCAUUUGUAGCAGCAUGGAUGGGUCUAGAGAUGAUUAUACUUAGUGAAGUAAGUCAGAAAGAGGAAGGCAAGUAUCAUAUGAUAUCACUUAUAUGUGGAAUCUAAAAUAUGACGUAAGUGAACUUAUCUACAAAACAAACAGACUCACAGACAUAGAGAACAGACUUGUGGUUGCCAAGGGGGAAAGGGAGUUAUAUAUAUAAUGGAAUCAUUUUGCUGUACAAUAGAAAUUAACACAGCAUUGUAAAUCAACUACAAUAAAAUACAUUUAAAAAAUAGGCUAUGGUUUUUAAGCAAGAUGUAUAAGGAUGUUUGUACCCCUUCCUAGAAGAUAUGUUGCAACAAAGAACUUUCAAUGUCUAUAAAUUAUCCUUAGUCUGUUUAGAAAUUGCCCUUGCUCUUUCUAUUUUCUUAUUUAAGUAAAAGAACAUUAUGAUUAGUGUUAUGAGUCCAAUAUUUCUGCCCCGGGGAAGUGAUAAAAACCAAAAUUCUGAAUUCCGUAUUGAAAAUGUAAUAAUACAGAGUUUUUAAAACUAAGAUUGGAUUAUUAGCAAAAUUUAUUGACUUUUAUGUUUAGUGAUAGAUACUUAAUGGGCAUAAAUUGAAAGUUAUAAAUUAGACUUUUGAUAUAUUAAUUUUUUCCAUUGAUUUAUAAUUUGAGUUUUUUUUUUUUUACUUGAUUUCUGUUGGCAUUGAGAAUAAACCUAAACAUUUUUCUUUUCUUUUUAAAAGUACAACACUCCCAUUAAAACAAUUUGGACAUUGCAGAAAUAUUGAAAUAAGGUAAUCCCUAGAUCCUAUCAUUCAGAGGUACCAACCUAGCAGACUGUUGCCUUCCAGCUUUAUGUACUUACAUCUACAAAGAAACAUUUUUCUUUUUUACCAAAUUGAGUUCAUGCUAUAGAUUCAAUAUUAUGUCCUGCUUUUUUUUACGUUAAAGUAUAUUGUAAAAAAAUUUCUUGCAUCUAAGUUUUUGAAAAUUUAGUUAAACCCAUAAUUUCUUGGCUCUGUAAAAUUUGAAAUGUUAGAAAAUAUGAGAAGAAAAAUAAUCUGUAAUCCUGGCACUGAGAGUUAGCUACUUACACAUUAGUAUUUCCUGCUAAACUGUUUCUUUGUUCCCACCUUCAAACAAAACUUAAAUAUCCAUGGUAACUCUUUAUUUAAUUUCUUUUGUUAAAUGAAUAAUCAUUUUGAAAAAUGAACUUCUUUAAAGAAAUUUAUCUUUAUAUAAUUAAUAUGAUUAGUAAAUUCAUAUUUUCACACUUUGUAGAACUUUUGCAUUUGUAAAGGACCUCUAAUUCGAAUUUAUUGUAACAUUUUCUCUUUAAAAUAUAUUUGUACAUGCUUACAUGUGUAUGUGAAAGUUAAGUCCUUAAGUGCUGUUUUAUGUUGGAAUCUUUAGGGAGAGAGUACAUGUGUGUGCAUGUGUGUGUGUGCACGUGUGUGACAAAUUUGAAGACACACUUUUUUAUCUGGCUGGGCUUGGGUAAGCUUCAACUUCUGUGAGCCUCAGUUUUCUCGUUUCUCAGAUUGUAAUGGUAGGACCUUUCCAAAUCUGUGAAAGGACCUCUUAAAUUAUAAAACAUACAAAUGUUAAUAGUUAUUCUUUAAGGGGCUCUAGGAAAGAAAAAUAAAAGGCAAAGGCAGUCCUUGAUUCCAUCAAGUUAUGGUCAGAUUUCCUAUCAGAGUAGGUGGAAAUUGGGUAUGGGAACCUGGCUGUAAGAAACGCAGAAUAUAGUUUUGCAUUGAGUUUCGCAUCUUUCUUAUUAGCAGAAGGUACAGAUUAUCCUAACAGAUCACAUGUCUAGAUCUUAGGGCAAGAGAGAAUGUAAUUCUUUUUGUACCAUUUUAAUUUUGAACAAGCCAUGUUUAUGGUGCCUAGCUCUUAGAAAAAAUAAAAAGAACAAGAGAGAAAUGGUAUAUCUGCCCACCACCAUCUGCUAUUUUUAGAUUGGCUAGGAAGCCCUAUUUGGCCGCCUUUGCCCAUGUCAUUUGGCAACUCUUGAGCCUGCAUCAUUUAGAGAUAAAAGAAGCUUAGAAGGUGGAAAACUGAAUUUCUUUGAUUUUCCAGUCAUCAUUGAUGAAAAAAUAUAUCACCACAAGCAAUUUGAAGGACGUUGGCUGUAAGUAAAACAAUAAGUGUUUUCAUUUAGUGAGAUGGGCUUAUGCGACACAAAAGACAUGAUGUAUUUCCACCUUUCUGCCUUAAUAUGGGGUGAAGAAUGUAUGAACCUUCUGUCCUGGUUUGAUUUUUAUUUAUUAUCAAGAGAAAUAAUAGUUUAGAAAAAGAUGUAAAUACUGUGCAUAUAUAUACAUAUACAUACAAAUAUAUGCUUAUAUAUUUUUAUGGCCUUUUAGAAUAAAAUUCUUAGAAAAGAAAGGGAAACUAUGAAUGUCAAGGAAAGAAGCACAGAAACAACCUGGGAAAUGACAGAUUUUAAGAUUAAUGUACUAAGAUGAAUUUGAAAACUAAAGAAAGUAAAUAGAGAAAUCUAAUUUUCCAUUUACUUGGAUAAAGGGACAUAAUAUUAUACCCAUGGAUCAGUUUUAAAUGAGCAUACAUUUGGGCAUUUUAUAGGUAAUAAAAUUUAACCUGUUUUAUCUGUGGUAUCUAUAAAGUGUUCUGAAACAUUUCUAUUGUUGGAUAUAGUAACUUACCAAAAGCUCUAGUAAAAGUCAGUUUAUAUAUUGUAGGUUGUUUUUCUUUUGCCUAUAUUAUUAUUUUACUAGCUUCCUACACUAACUUUCCUUUAACUGUUAAACUUUAACUGUUAAAUUAUCAUUUUCCUAUAAUUGAAGAAUUUUAUUAAAUGAGUUACCAAAUGUUAAGUGCUCAAUAAAUGUUUAUUAUUACAAUUGUGUUGAUAUUUUUAAUAUGUGCACAAAUUCUAAUGAAAUUAUAUCAUUAUACUUUCUAAUUAUAGUAGAAAGUUUAUUUAAAGCCUGUCCUAUUGCAAGCCAUAUUAAUUAUUUUACAUAGCUGUGCAUUAAAAAGAUGAAAUUCACUUUCUCAUAGCUGUUCCAAAGUUGAUAUUUUCCUCCAUCUCCAAAAGAGUUUGAGAAAAACUUAUACUAUAAUCUUAGUCUUAUGUCUAGUAGUAACGGAAAAUAAUUUUGCCUACUAGGAAAAGUUGUGGAUAUAUUGCUCUUUUUAAAUUUGUGAUUAUGAAGUCAGAAAUGAUAUAUUAAGGAGAAUCCAUUUACAAUAACUUAAAUUCAAAGAUAAAAUUUUGUUUUUCAGGUCUAACAUACUUGUAAAGAAAGUUCAGGGAACAUUUAUAAAGUGCUUUAUUGUUUGCAAAGGACAUUUACAUACUCUAUCAUUUAAUCCACACAAUAACCUUGUGAGAUAAAUAGAAGUAUUCCGUUUAAUAGAUGAGAAAACUGAGUCUCACAGAGGUCACAAUUUGAAUGUGAUAAGCCAGUAUUUCUACAAGAGACUGGAUCACUGGAAAGGAUUCUGUAGAAAUGGUGCUUGCACAAAAGGGAACUUGUAAGGGAUCCUAGGGUGUCCUUUCAAAACUACAUUUCUGUGAUUUGUAUAGUUUUAGGUGGGAGGCAACAUGAUAUAGUAGGAAACACCUGGGAGGACCUAAAUUUACUAUAUCCUGGCCUUGAGCAAGUAAUUCAGCCUCUCUGAACCUCAAUUCCUCAUAUGUAACACAGGAACAUUUUUUAUUAACUUGAAGUGUUUUUUUUUAAAAUAUAUUUUUAUUAGAGUAUAAUUGCUUUACAAUGUUGUGUUAGUUUCUGCUGUACAACAAAGUGACUCAGCUAUAUGUAUGCAUAUAUCCCCAUAUCCCCUCCCUCUUGAGACUCCCUCCAACCCUCCCUAUCCCACCCCUCUAGGUCUGCAGUGUUAUUGAAAAGAUAAAAUGAGUUAAUGUAGAAAAGAACUAGGCACUGAACUGCUUAAUGAUAGAACUAUUGUUAAUACAUAUAAAUCCAAAUACAGUAACCCUUCCAACAUAGCACCGUAGCCACAUAGCCCAUUAAAGCCAUACUUUUGAAGGGGAGUAUAGUGUUACUAAUCAGCAACUGUUUUUGGUAAAUGAGGAAAAUGAAUGGGGAAUUUAUUGAAGAUGUUAAAACAGAGAAGGGAAUUGCAUAGAAUGGAACCCAUGGAUAUAUAUUUGAGGUAGAAAGUAAAAUCUCAAUGAAAGCAAUACAGAUGGAAGAAAGAACACUGCAGGACAAGAAAGAGCCUGCGACCUAGCUCAGUGGAAGCAAAAAGCAUGAGAAUCACUUGGCUAAUCCUGGGCAGACUAUUUCUGGACCGACCAUGUAUCAGAGAAGCCUCCAGGAACCUCUGUCAUUCAGGGAAAUGGAAAGUUUCAGCAGUGGAGUGGAAUUGCUGAUGUUGGACUUGGGCUUUAUAAUCUGAUAGACCUAGGUUAAAAUUUUGGCUAUGCUACUUGCUAGCUGUUUGAUCUUGGACAAGUUAUUUGAUAUCCCAUGUCUCUUCUGUAAAAGGGGGAUGAUAAAUCCUACCUCGUGGAGUUGUUUCAAAGAUUAAAUAAGAUAUAUGUGUAAA